AGAGUUUGAUCAUGGCUCAGGAUGAACGCUAGCGGCAGGCCUAAUACAUGCAAGUCGAACGGUGUCUAGCAAUAGGCAUAGUGGCGCACGGGUGCGUAACACGUAACUAACCUACCUACAACUGGGGGAUAGCCCGCCGAAAGGCGGAUUAAUACCGCAUAAGCUACUUGGGUGGCAUCACCUGGAUAGUAAAGAUUUAUUGGUUGUAGAUGGGGUUGCGGGUCAUUAGCUAGUUGGUUGGGUAACGGCUGACCAAGGCGACGAUGACUAGGGGAGCUGAGAGGCUGGUCCCCCACACGGGCACUGAGAUACGGGCCCGACUCCUACGGGAGGCAGCAGUAGGGAAUAUUGGGCAAUGGGCGAGAGCCUGACCCAGCCAUGCCGCGUGCAGGAAGAAGGCUUUCUGAGUCGUAAACUGCUUUUGACAGGGAAGAAUAAGGUGUACGUGUACACCGAUGACGGUACCUGCAGAAUAAGCACCGGCUAACUCCGUGCCAGCAGCCGCGGUAAUACGGAGGGUGCGAGCGUUGUCCGGAUUUAUUGGGUUUAAAGGGUGCGUAGGCGGCCCGUUAAGUCCGGGGUGAAAGCCCGUUGCUCAACAACGGAACUGCCCUGGAUACUGACAGGCUUGAGUACAGACGAGGUUGGCGGAAUGGACCGAGUAGCGGUGAAAUGCAUAGAUACGGUCCAGAACCCCGAUUGCGAAGGCAGCUGACUAGGCUGUUACUGACGCUGAGGCACGACAGCGUGGGGAGCGAACAGGAUUAGAUACCCUAGUAGUCC
RNAcentral lists this ribosomal RNA (783 nucleotides) under uncultured bacterium. Its description in RNAcentral is "bacterial SSU rRNA". It matches the Rfam family "Bacterial small subunit ribosomal RNA", at positions 8 to 796 of the family's 1533-position model. The record is from RNAcentral.